RNAcentral lists this ribosomal RNA (466 nucleotides) under uncultured bacterium. Its description in RNAcentral is "partial 16S ribosomal RNA". It matches the Rfam family "Bacterial small subunit ribosomal RNA", at positions 28 to 507 of the family's 1533-position model. The record is from RNAcentral.
GAUGAACGCUGGCGGCGUGCUUAACACAUGCAAGUCGAACGAUGAAGCCCAGCUUGCUGGGUGGAUUAGUGGCGAACGGGUGAGUAACACGUGAGUAACCUGCCCUUAACUCUGGGAUAAGCCUGGGAAACUGGGUCUAAUACCGGAUAGGAGCGUCCACCGCAUGGUGGGUGUUGGAAAGAUUUAUCGGUUUUGGAUGGACUCGCGGCCUAUCAGCUUGUUGGUGAGGUAAUGGCUCACCAAGGCGACGACGGGUAGCCGGCCUGAGAGGGUGACCGGCCAAACGGGGACUGAGACACGGCCCAGACUCCUACGGGAGGCAGCAGUGGGGAAUAUUGCACAAUGGGCGAAAGCCUGAUGCAGCGACGCCGCGUGAGGGAUGACGGCCUUCGGGUUGUAAACCUCUUUCAGUAGGGAAGAAGCGAAAGUGACGGUACCUGCAGAAGAAGCACCGGCUAACUACGUG